GCACCGCGGACGAGUCCCAAACAAGACGAAACAGCUGUCCAGUGC
Non-coding RNA from Echinostoma caproni, 45 nucleotides. NCBI's taxonomy places the organism in Eukaryota, Metazoa, Platyhelminthes, Trematoda, Plagiorchiida, Echinostomatidae. The record is from Rfam.